This 1150-nucleotide long non-coding RNA is filed under the name Cricetulus griseus (Chinese hamster). RNAcentral describes it as "lncRNA (ENSCGRG00000024160.1)". Lineage: Eukaryota; Metazoa; Chordata; Mammalia; Rodentia; Cricetidae. The record is from RNAcentral.
CUCCAGGGAAGAGAGGUUACAGCCUGAGGCUUGGUGAGAGCUCCUGGAGACAGCAUCAGCCCAUUCAGCCUGAUGUAACGUUCAUGUCUCACAGCUACAAUGGACACAUCAAGAGUCUAUGUCAAUGUAAAGACCUUUAGGACCCCAGGACACAAGUGUGCAUCACCUCCAUCUCUUCCCCCAGUGCGAUUCUUGAUGGAGAAACCACCAAUCGAAAAGCACGGUGUGGCUGAUCAAGAGAACAGGACUGAACCAACAGGGAGAUCAGCCAUGCUAAAGUGUCCAAGAGACUGGCAUCUACACCAGGAUAAAUGCUUAUUUAUUUCUCAAAUUCUCCGACCUUGGGCUGAAGGUCUAGCUGACUGUUUUGUGAAAGAAGCCACUUUGUUGCUCCUUGAAGAUGAAGGAGAUAUGAGAUUCAUUCAGGACAUCUCAAAGAAAAGAAGACAGCAAUUCUUUAUCGGACUAAAUUAUGUACCAGCAGAGAAGAUCUGGAAGUGUAUAAAUGCCUCUGUUUUAAGUCCUGAUAUAUGCCUGUCGGUUCCCAUACUGGCAUCAGUUGGCUCUGAAACUCCGCUGUGCUUGGCUGAUUCUUCCUGUCUUGAGCCUGACUGGACUCAGUGUCUUAGGUCGAGUCAGAUGACUUUUGCCCUGGCUGACUCUGACAUCCAUGGAAUCUUGAGUAGUCACCUGAGGACUGACUGACAGACACACCACAUGUUUCCAUUGUGUUUUGUCAGUUUGUCUACAUGACCAUUGAACACAGUUGGAAGACACAACAAGACUUGACCUUCCGUGCAGCUCUGUGUACUCUCAUGCACUUUCUGCUGGAUGAGCCAUGUUCAAGGGUGGUGAAUUGAUGGAAGGAGUUUCAAGUCACAUUGCACAUGGCACAAAUAUAAGGAAAGGCAUGGAACUAGGGCUUUAUUUAACCAUAUAAAACUUCAAUAUCAUUUUGUUUUGUAGCAAACUCCAGACAGCAUAUGUGUGAAAGUCUGGUAGGGCUAGAUGGCCUCAAAAGCACUUUCCUGCCAGGAGUGGUGAUCUAUAACGUCAUAUCCAGCACCUCAGAGGUAGAGGCCUGAGCAAAAGGAUGUUAAGGUCAUCUUCAGCUACAUAAAGAGUUUGAGGCCAGCCUCGGCUACAUGAG